UUAUUGGUUUGGUCAGCCCAAAACAUGAGAAGUUUUUUUAUGGGCCCCAACAAGCGCAACCCCUAUCCCUUUUUGCCCCCAGCUCUGGCGGGGCCUCUUAAGAGGCCCCCCGGGACAAACCCGAGGAAAGUGGGGAUGACCUCCAGUCUUCCUUGCCCUUUUUGGCAGGGCUUCACCCCUGCUUCAAUUGGCCGUACAAAGGGUUUGCAAACCGCGGGGAAGAGCCAAUUCCCCAAAGCCGGUUCUCGGCCGGGAUGGUUUUUUCCACCUGAGGGAACUGAAGCCGGUAUUUUCUUUUGUAUCGUUGAGCAGCCUGGGCCUACGUUUAAAUGUGUUGGCG
RNAcentral lists this ribosomal RNA (340 nucleotides) under uncultured vent bacterium. Its description in RNAcentral is "partial 16S ribosomal RNA". The stretch from base 1 to 290 matches the Rfam family "Bacterial small subunit ribosomal RNA", at positions 1041 to 1332 of the family's 1533-position model. The record is from RNAcentral.